GCCUUCAUGAAGCCGGAAUUGCUAGUAAUGGCAGGUCAGCAUACUGCCGUGAAUACGUUCCCGGGCCUUGUACACACCGCCCGUCACACCAUGAGAGUUGGGAAUACCCGAAGCCUGUGAGCUAACUUUUAGAGGCAGCAGUCGAAGGUAGAAUCAAUGAUUGGGGUGAAGUCGUAACAAGGUAUC
This 186-nucleotide ribosomal RNA is filed under the name uncultured bacterium. RNAcentral describes it as "partial 16S ribosomal RNA". It matches the Rfam family "Bacterial small subunit ribosomal RNA", at positions 1314 to 1500 of the family's 1533-position model. The record is from RNAcentral.